RNAcentral lists this ribosomal RNA (484 nucleotides) under uncultured bacterium. RNAcentral's name for it is "partial 16S ribosomal RNA". It matches the Rfam family "Bacterial small subunit ribosomal RNA", at positions 29 to 507 of the family's 1533-position model. The record is from RNAcentral.
AUUGAACGCUGGCGGCAUGCUUUACACAUGCAAGUCGAACGGCAGCGCGGGCUUCGUCCUGGCGGCGAGUGGCGAACGGGUGAGUAAUGCAUCGGAACGUGCCCAGUAGUGGGGGAUAGCCCGGCGAAAGCCGGAUUAAUACCGCAUACGACCUGAUGGUGAAAGCGGGGGACCGAAAGGCCUCUCGCUUUUUGAUCUGCCGAUGUCGGAUUAGCUCGUUGGUGGGGUAAAGGCUUACCAAGGCGACGAUCCGUAGCUGGUCUGAGAGGACGACCAGCCACACUGGGACUGAGACAAGGCCCAGACUCCUACGGGAGGCAGCAGUGGGGAAUGUUGGACAAUGGGGGCAACCCUGAUACAGCCAUGCCGCGUGCGGGAAGAAGGACUUCGGGUUGUAAACCGCUUUUGUUCGGGAAGAAAUCCUCUGGGCUAAUACCCCGGGGGGAUGACGGUACCGGAAGAAUAAGCACCGGCUAACUACGUG